Girardinichthys multiradiatus is the source of this 444-nucleotide long non-coding RNA. RefSeq lists it as uncharacterized. The record is from RefSeq and is a predicted model, not a curated record. The transcript has 4 exons. NCBI's taxonomy places the organism in Eukaryota, Metazoa, Chordata, Actinopteri, Cyprinodontiformes, Goodeidae.
UGAAAAAGAAGACUGGGAUGUGGACAAAGCUGCUGUCUUUGUCUUAUAUGGGCCAAGAUAAAGCAUCCAGUGAAAAGGUUGCCAUCCAUCUUCAUCCCGCCUGGCAUGUGCUUCAGUCACUUCCGCCCUCAGUGCAGCCUGUGUCUUUUCUGCUUCAUCCUUUCAUCUCAGGCUCCCACGCAUUUCAGGUCAUUGGGGAAGCAAUCGUCUUAAGUGUUCUGGCUGACAAUGAGAGCUGAUGAGAAACCUUCCUGUGAGCGUUGGCUGGCUAAGGUGUCUGCCUCUCAAGAGCUGCAUCAUUUCUUCCUGACGUGUCAACUCUCUACAAAGCUGUGAACCGAGGAAGUGGCUCUGGGAAAAUGCCACAGAAGCCCCAUGUCAGACGUCGCUCAUGCUGAGAGUGUGUUUGUCAAAGGUAUUGUGUGUGUGUGUAUGUGUCUCAGG